GUGUACUUAUAUACAUAAAAUAAAUAAUUCUUUAAAAAGGUUUAAAAAAUGAAAAAAGAAAAUAGGAUAGUUCAACAUUACAAAAAUGUAAAUAGUAGGGUGGGUCUCUAGAGUUAAAUUCUAUGGUGUUUAGGAGUGUGGGACUAACUCAGGAUUCAGUCAAGAAAAGCCUCUGUUUUCUGAUCUGGGCUAUGAGGCAGGCAGGAGCAGUUGGAAUGUGAAUACUCUGGAAAAUAAUCCAGUUUUUGAUGAAACACAUUGACCCCUAGGUGCCUCUUUUGGGUAGGAACACAGCAGCUGAAAACAGCCUUCCUGAGUUCAAAUCCCAGCUGUAACGGAACCUCCAUGUUUUAGUUCUUUCAUCCUUACCCUGAUAGAGACCUACAUCCUAGGACCUUUGGAAGGUGAAAAGGUUUAAUUAAUAGAAUGAGUUAUUAUGAGUAGCAUCAAGCAUCCAUAUAACACCUGAACAGAACUGGGUUUAGUAUAUAAAGAGCUAAAUAGAUGGGAUUUCCUGGGAACAGGCCUGGAGCUGUGGUGAAUCAUGACUAGCCAUCAGGUGAUAACAGGAGGAGCUUGUUGGCCUUACAACCUUUUCAAUCUUCUCAUUUUACAAAUCACUUUUUAAAAAAUAUUGGCCCAGCAAACCCAAUACAUUCGUACCUGUCUUCUUUCAUUUAGUCUAUCCUUGUAUUUGAUCACUUUAGGGGCCUAGGCCACUGAGACUGCUAAGAAUAUAAAAUUAUGUUUGACUCAUAUUCUAUAGUAGAAAAUAUUUGAUUCUAAUAUAUUUGGACAAAGUCACAUUAGAAUUAAUUUUAUCAAAAUCACUGAUCUUUGUGUCUGAAAUACAAAGUAUCUUCUUUAUAAAUCAGUAGGUCUCAACCUCUGGAUUAUAACCCCUUUUGAGGUUGGGGGGGUCAAAUGACUGUUUCACAGGGGUCACCUAAGAUUAUGGGAAAGCACAAACAUUUACUUUACAAUUCAAAACAGUAGCAAAAUUACAAUUACGAAGUGGCAAUGAAAUAAUUUUAUGGUUGGAGAGCACCACAACAUGAGAAACUGUUUUAAAGGGUCACAGCCAUAGGAAGGUUGCUAAGCAAACACCAGCGCUGUGAAGCAAACAGACAUAGUCAGGGCCUCUAGUCUGCAAGGAGGUGCAUGUAUUAAGAGAUCUUUCUGAGUUAAACAAUACCUAAAAUACCGUGGCUGUCAUGUGCACUGGUUACUUUGUGUAACUUAGCAGUGCUUAUCUAAGAGUUGUGAUUAUUUCUUUCAUACAUACUGUUAGCAACAGCACCCAUCUUUCAGAACAAGGCUCACCCAUGAAGAAUUAACGAAGCUCAGUACAUGGUCAGAAGUUUCUCAAAACUGACAUUUCUCGAUUUCCCACUAGACAUGAGCGCAAGCAACCAGUGGAUUUUUUUUUUAAAUGACCUAAAUACAGUCAAUGGUGACAAUAAGGAAUGGAGAAUUCUAUAGUUUUAACAUUCUAACUCAUUUUCAUCAAAGAAAAGCAUAAAGUCUGAGGCAGCCCUGGGGCUGAAUCCAGUUCCUUCUAGUUUCAGAUUGUCUGAUUUUGGGCAGGUGGCUAAGCUGCUGGAUCUUUGUUUUUCCAUUCGCAAAGCAGAGUUAAUGCUGGUGUCUGGUGAACUGGUAAAUGUUUAACAAUGAGUUGUCAGUGAGCAAGAAAACACACAUUUAUGGGGGUUGCUGACUUCUACAGUAUAAUUCCCAUUGUGGCUUCUUUCGAGCUACCAAUGGGAUGUCCCUGAACACAGAGCUGUGAAGCAGUGAGUGACAGGAGGAUAACACUUCUACCCAUGAGAGGCACUGAGCCUUAGUCAGCCCGGGAGACAAGAUAAUAGUCUAGGAAGCAGUGCAUAGUGAUUACUGCAUCUGUUCUCCAGAUGCAUUGAUAUGGUUUGCAUCUAAAAUGGCCCCUUAAAAGCUCACGAAUUGAAGGCUUUAUUCUCACCGCAGUAGUGUUCAGAGGGUUGACUAGAUCAUGAGAGUUCUGACUUCAUCAGUGGAUUAACUCAUUGAUCAGGUCAUAGCCUGCUGAGCUAUCAAGAGGUGGUAGAAAUUCUGGGGAUGGGGCCUAGUGAAGGAAGUAGGUUAUUAGUGGCACUUCCUUGAAGGAUGCAUUUAUUCUCCAGGUGUACCCCUUCCCCAGGUUCCAUGCAUUCUCUAUUCUAUGCUGCUUUGCCCCAAUAUAGGCCAAGAAACAACAGAGCCAAGAGACCAUGGGCUGAAACCUCUGCUACAGUGAGCCACGUUAAGUAUUUCCUCUUUGCAAAUUGAUUAUCUAAUUUUGUCAUAGUGGUGUGAGGCUACUACAGUUAUUUAGGUUUAUAUACUUUGAGGUUUUUUUUUUUUAUUAAUGGUAGUAUAUAUAAUCCUGCUCAAGAAAUUCAUGCAAAUUCAUGUUGGCUUCCUGGAGCUUUGUGACUAGUUCCCACAUACUGCUGCCUAUCUCCAGGUCUUGGAUUUCCUAACUACUAUAUGAUACAAACACCACAGAAUACAAGACUAGAAUGUGAUCAAGUGUCCUUUCUGAUUCUCCAGGAUGGCCUUCCAGUCUGCCUUCCAAUUAGCCGUGCAUAUGGAGUCCCACCUUUCUCCUGCUAAAGUAUCAGUGAUGGACAGGUAGUGCCACUGUUGCUGAUUGACGCUUGCUAUCCCAACUCUACCAAACUGGACCGCUGGUGUAUCCAUGAAGUGUUUGCGUGUGGAUCAAGCUGCCAUUGCCUGCCACCCUGUGAACUGAAUUGCCAAUUUCCAAACAACAUAGAUGGAAGUUGCUCCAAAGAAACUUUCUAAACAGGUAUACUCCCCCACAAAACCCAUAUCCUUUGGUAUACUCCCCCACAAAACCCAUAUCCUCUCUUCCACUACCUCUGGUGGGCUACAAGAGAGGUUACAGCAUUCAAGAACCAUCAUUAAAAGUAGGUUUUGAAAAACGUAUAGAUCUCAGUAAUGCAUUCUUUCUCUCCCUCAACUCUGGCCUUGCUCUCAGCCUACUUGUGUUGACCAGAAUUGGGGCUCAGCUCCAGCCUUCCUGCCUGAUGCAAGGACCAUGUCCUGGAGUGUGGGCUAUGGAUUAGAGGGAAAUAGUUCUCUGAGGCUGGUGUUAGGAGGAAAGGCUAAGGGACCCACACUGGACAGCAAUAACCACAGGCAACUCUUCAGAGGCCUACCACACACGAUAGAAGUGAGAUUGCCGGUGCAGAGCAAGACUGAGAGACUUGGUCAGAACACAAACUCUGUGCACAAUGGAGAUGCAAUUUUGUCUGACUCUCAAGACUGCUACUUUCCUACACCAAAGAAUGAGUGCAUGUCCUUGGCCUGGAAACUGCUACCUUUUAACCUUGUGGCCUCUUCUCUCUCUGAACCUUCAGCAAACUUACUACUAAACAAGACCUAUCAGAGCAGAUUACAAUAACAUCCAAACUUUCAUCAGCACCCAGUGUUCCUGCUUUUCUGCAUCUGCUGCAACUGAAAAGGGGCUGGAUAUAAAUGGCAUUCUCUCCCCGCUGAGGGUCCCUUCCAAUUGUUUCUUCAACUGCCUCUCGUCCUGCUCUAAUGAGUACCCUUUGGCUGGAGCAUUUAGUUCAUUUAAUAGCUCAAGUUCACUUCCUCCUCCUCCUGUUUCUCCCAGUCCUCACUGUUCCCUGCUUCAUUAUGAAGCAAACACUUCUUUCCACUAUAUUGACCCAAAUAUUUUUGUCAGUUUACUUGUGUCACUGAAAACCUAGUAUUUAUUCAGGCCAACCACAAAGACUGUGUUGUGAAGCUGUGGCUGUAGCUAGAUCACCUUUCAUUGGCAUGGAUUUUUUUUAAAUGCCAGUGUCUUUCAAAUAUAAUACAGGAUGGCAUAUCAUUUCAUUACCCUGACAAAUAGUCUGUGAUACUUUUAAUUCUUACUGAUUUUGUUACUCUGUAACAUUUACUGUGUAACUUUGGCAUUGUCAUUCCGUUGUUGUAAGGCUGUGUGGCUAUAGCUUUGGACUUUGUUUAUUUGAAGAUUUUUUUCUGUCAUCUCUACCAUGCACAUUUUAUAUUAAUCUUUUUUUAAAAUUAUUUGUAUAUGUGUGUUGGGGAUAUACACACGUAAGUAUACCUACUCCUCCAGGAGCCUAUGGAGUCCAGAAGAGGUUAAUAGCACCAGGAGAGCUGGAGUUACAUGUGAGCUGUUCAACACAAGCACUGAUUUUCUGCCAGCCGAGUACACACCCUUAACUACUGAGCCAUCACUCCAGCCCUUUCCUUUCUGUUCAAUUGCUUUAUAAAUGAUAAAAGUGUGUAUUGGUCCAUCUAACAAACCUUAUUUAACAACUGUUUGAAUGUCCUCUAUGAAUUACUUUCAGGUAUGGUAAAAUAUGUUUAUAAUUAUAUUAGAUAACAUUCUAAAUAUAAUACAUAAUAUUCAUAUACUAUGAUUAUGAUAAUAUAGACAAUAUCUGUAUGCACGUACCUCUCCUGACUAUUAGGAUAAUUUUCAUUUUCAUUCCAUGAAUUCUCACACUUAAGAUCACUAUAAUGAACAUUUUGGUAGCUCCUUGUAGUACUAUAUCAGUAAUCUUGUUUCUACACCAUCUUCAUCAUUUGUGAGAUAAAAUUUGAAAAUACAAAGCCACCCUAUGAAUAAGCUUUUGACUGUCUCUCCUUCCUAAUUUCUCAUCACUUCUCAACUUCACACUUUUUCAAUAACCACUCUAAUUAAAUAUAGUCAUUGUUUUUUAAAUUUAGAAUACCUUUAGAAUGAACAUGAAAUUGCUACUAUCCUGAACCGGUCUGCCUCCAUUUUGGGUUUGAAAGUCAUCUUACAAUAAAGACAAACUAUAUUCUUUCCUAUUAAUGAUAAAAUCUCUGUGUCUCAAAGAUUGUGCUAUGCCCGACCUGUAACCUUAACUACAAAUGGUUCUGUACUGCCUGUUCUGGGGAAACAGCAGCCAUGUCUUUCUUUCGAAAAGUUGUUAUUAACUUGCAAUUGUGCCUUUGUUUCAGGAGGUUGUUACCACAAUCUUGCAACCAUAAUUUGGUUUCAAAAGGUUAUUAUGACCAACUGUUGCUAUGACUACCUUAAUAUAUUUUGCUUCUGUAACCCCACCUAUUUGCCCACCAAUCCCCUAUUUGGAAACCCUGUACCCCUGACCAAUGCUGACCUCUUGAAUCCUGCUUUAGCACAGAGCCAGCCUGUGUACACACAAAUAAAAUAGGCUUACUUU
Molecule: small RNA, 5231 nt
Filed under: Rattus norvegicus (Norway rat)
Lineage: Eukaryota; Metazoa; Chordata; Mammalia; Rodentia; Muridae
Description: uncharacterized LOC102551574
Source: RNAcentral